Molecule: ribosomal RNA, 311 nt
Filed under: Cambarus causeyi
Lineage: Eukaryota; Metazoa; Arthropoda; Malacostraca; Decapoda; Cambaridae
Description: partial 12S ribosomal RNA
Source: RNAcentral
UCUUUAAAUUUAAAGAAUUUGGCGGUGUUUUAAUCUAAUUAGAGGAACCUGUUUUAUAAGCGAUACGCCACGUAUCAUUCUACUUGUUUUAGUGAAUUCGCUUGUAUACCGUCAUUAGGAGAUAAUUUAAGAGAGAGUAUCAUUUAAAUCAUAUUAUUGAGUAUAUUAGAUCAAGGUGCAGCUUAUGGGCAAGUAAGUAUGGGUUACAAUAAAAUUUAUUUAGUACGAAUUAAAUAUUAAAUAUCUCUAUGAAGGAGGAUUUAAUACUAAGAGAAGAGUAGCGAGAUUUUGUGAUAGGAGCUCUAAAUUGU